GUCGGGGUGGCAGAGUCUGGUUUAAUGCGGUAGCUUGCUAAGCUACUGGGCUUUACCGCCCUCCCGGGUUCAAAUCCCGGCCCCGGCG
This 88-nucleotide transfer RNA is filed under the name Candidatus Nanosalina sp. J07AB43. It matches the Rfam family "tRNA". Rfam says of the family: Transfer RNA (tRNA) molecules are approximately 80 nucleotides in length. RNAcentral also lists the same sequence under 1 other name. Lineage: Archaea; Methanobacteriati; Methanobacteriota; Candidatus Nanohaloarchaea. The record is from Rfam by way of RNAcentral.